RNAcentral lists this long non-coding RNA (2194 nucleotides) under Anas platyrhynchos platyrhynchos (common mallard). RNAcentral's name for it is "lncRNA (ENSAPLG00000020403.1)". Lineage: Eukaryota; Metazoa; Chordata; Aves; Anseriformes; Anatidae. The record is from RNAcentral.
CUGGAGGCUUGACAAUAAGCAGCCAUUCCCAAUCUAUUUUGCAACUUACGACUCAGCUCCAAAAAGCCCCCUUCAGAAGUAAUUAGUUUGCUUUACAUCCAGCCUUUAUAUUCUCAAGCUAAUAAAUGGCCAGUGCAGCUCCAAAAGGAGUUUGUUUCUCUGGCUGCCUACGGGGACUGGGGGAGUUGCUGUCUCCGGGCAGCACAACUCCAUCGGCAGCUGAAUGUCUUGGCAGGGACCAGGGCUCUCUACAAAAGGUGGCAAGCCACAAAAUCUAAAGUCUUUAUACCCUGUAUAAAAGUCAGCAUUCACAUGGUCUGGCAGAAACCUUCGGGUCUCCAAGUUUCAGUUUCCCCGUCUGCGGGAAGGGCUUCUCCAAAAGAUUUGUUGAUUCAGCAAACAUUUGCAUCUCAUGCCACAGCUUUCCUGCAUGACCUUGACAGAGCUUCUGGCCUCUCUGUGACUCACUUCCCCACUUCUAAAAUAGAGGAAAUUAGAGCAUUACAGUCAGGUGUCUGUCUUUUGCCUUCCCAAGGAGGCUUGCCAGGAGAAGUGCCACUUACGGUGCCACUCAUGGUGCCACUCAGCUGGUUUGGGGCACACUAGGAUGCCAAGGCCUGGGCUGUUGGUGGCAAUGAGUCCACGGCCACGUGCCCAGCAGAGAUGGAGCAGCUCAGACAUCAGCAAGGCGCCUACACGUCCCUGGCUGAAGGCUGCCUGUCACGCACCUUCCCACACCUCGGCGCGUGUCUGGACUGCGUCCUUAUUAACAGGUCUGCGACCACUCCACACAGGAUGCCUCCAAGGUGGAACGGAGGCAUGGCACAGUGACGUUGCUGACAAAAUCAUAUAUAUUGUACUAAUUGCCAUCCCUAAACAAUGCAUAUUGAUGUUGAUAACACUCAUCAGUACCAGCCAAACUUCCUGAACAACUGAUUUUCAGUGGUCUGUGCAACUGGUUGAAUUUUAAAACUGUGUUUUGAAUCAAGCACUUGGCUGAACACAAAAAAAAACUCCCUGGAAGUGUUCAGUGAGUAGUGCUCUCGUACUGUCAGUAACUGCCACCACAUCUGGGGAUUUGUGAGCUGUGUGCACUCACGGCAGAGCUUCCACAACCAGGGGCUUUAUGCUAGGCCUCAAGCUCAGCUUGUGUCUUAGACUCAAAUACAAGGAUUUUCAGAAGCAUCUCCAGGAAGAUAUUGUGGGCUCUUCACCUUCUCUGCUGCUUCAGGGUUAAGUACAGAAGAGGAGCUCCGUGAUCCUGUCACCUUCCCGCAGCUGCAGUGGGCUCUCGAACUGAGCAAACCUCAACUCCAAAACCUCCCCUGCUCCUGCUCCUUUGCUCCCACCCAAAGGCCUGUAGAGAAGAAGAAUAAUAACUGAUCUCUGUAUCUCCAUGUGGCUGAGCUAAUUAAGAGAUGCAUUAACCACGGGCCUAACUAGUGAAGCCUCAGAGCAUCUCUUGUGCUGCCGGUACAUCGUAUAAUCUCCUCACAUCCACAGUGGGCCUCAGUCAUUCAUGUUCUGGCAUCUGUGCAGUUUCUUGCUUCACAAAGAGUGUCACCAGGGAAGAAAGUGUUACUCAACACAAGUAAAUGUGACAGCAUCUGAGUCUAUAGUUAAGUCUAAACUACUCUGAAGUGAGAACUGAAGAAGCCUAACCCUGCCAGAUGAGUCACUGGCAGAAUCAGGACAAGAACAAGAAUCCCUCAUUACCAGCUCUGCGAUAUAAACACGUGCCUUCCCUCUCUGUUUCCCCAACCUUUCAUUAACACAGCGGUAGCACUUAGAGAUUUGGUCUAUUUUUCUCAGGAUCAACUUUCACCCAUUUUCGAGUCAGGAAGGAAUUCUUCCUCUCCUCUCCUUGCUCUUCAUUAACUUUCCCUGCUCCUGUAAAGCACCAGCAGCGUAAGGCUCCUCCUGGCUGCCAACUGGCCAGUGUGAACAUGAAGCAGAGAUUGCUGGCACGGGCAGGAUGUUUCAUACUUGCUGGGCUGCCCCUAGCCUCUCACCUGGGUAGGCAUCCCCCUACAGCUCUUCCCGUUGCUUUUCAUUCUUUGUGGGAUGCUGCAGCCCAAUGCGAACUUAUUAAAAUGCUGUGAGUCAGGCCUCCUCGAAAAGUCAUGCAUGACUUAAAAUCACAAGGAUGAUCAAAAACAAUAAAUUGCAUAUUUUCUACUUGCCUUUGGGUUUU